RNAcentral lists this ribosomal RNA (570 nucleotides) under uncultured bacterium. RNAcentral's name for it is "bacterial SSU rRNA". It matches the Rfam family "Bacterial small subunit ribosomal RNA", at positions 275 to 842 of the family's 1533-position model. The record is from RNAcentral.
GACGAUGCGUAGGGGUUCUGAGAGGAAGGUCCCCCACACUGGUACUGAGACACGGACCAGACUCCUACGGGAGGCAGCAGUGAGGAAUAUUGGUCAAUGGGAGAGAUCCUGAACCAGCCAAGCCGCGUGAGGGAAGACGGCCCUAUGGGUUGUAAACCUCUUUUGUCGGAGAACAAAACCCGGGACGAGUCCCGGACUGCGUGUAUCCGAAGAAAAAGCAUCGGCUAACUCCGUGCCAGCAGCCGCGGUAAUACGGAGGAUGCGAGCGUUAUCCGGAUUUAUUGGGUUUAAAGGGUGCGUAGGCGGUCUGUUAAGUCAGCGGUAAAAUUGCGGGGCUCAACCCCGUCGAGCCGUUGAAACUGGCAGACUUGAGUUGGCGAGAAGUACGCGGAAUGCGCGGUGUAGCGGUGAAAUGCAUAGAUAUCGCGCAGAACUCCGAUUGCGAAGGCAGCGUACCGGCGCCAGACUGACGCUGAGGCACGAAAGCGUGGGGAUCGAACAGGAUUAGAUACCCUGGUAGUCCACGCAGUAACCGAUGAAUGCUGGUUGUCCGGGUCGAAUGAGACCUGG